ACGUAGGGGGCAAGCGUUAUCCGGAAUUAUUGGGCGUAAAGAGUGCGUAGGUGGUUUUUUAAGCGUGAGGUGAAAGGCAAUAGCUUAACUAUUGUAAGCCUUGCGAACUGGAAGACUUGAGUGCAGGAGAGGAAAGUGGAAUUCCUAGUGUAGCGUUGAAAUGCCUAGAUAUUAGAAGGAACACCAAUGGCGAAGGCGACUUUCUGGACUAUAACUGACACUGAUGCGCGAAAGCGUGGAGAGCAAACAG
This 250-nucleotide ribosomal RNA is filed under the name uncultured prokaryote. RNAcentral's name for it is "partial 16S rRNA". It matches the Rfam family "Bacterial small subunit ribosomal RNA", at positions 525 to 775 of the family's 1533-position model. The record is from RNAcentral.